This 250-nucleotide long non-coding RNA is filed under the name Gouania willdenowi (blunt-snouted clingfish). RNAcentral describes it as "lncRNA (ENSGWIG00000025830.1)". Lineage: Eukaryota; Metazoa; Chordata; Actinopteri; Blenniiformes; Gobiesocidae. The record is from RNAcentral.
CAGCGAACCACGCCGACGAGAGCACUUCAGAGAUACUCGACUCAGAAAACGGAAACACCACAGAUAUCAAUGACAACAGCAUGUGUCUGAACAGCAGUUCUGUGUCCAGAAAGGAUGUCUGUGACAAUCAGGCCCCAGACAAGUUCUACAGUGUACAGCAGGAAGCCUCAGCAAGCUAAUGAAGCACAGCAGGCUCGUAGUGGUUCAUCUAAAUUAUUGAAGACCAAUCCACCUGUAACCAUGACAACCG